AGCAGUAGCCGCGGGAAUACAGAGGGUGCGAGCGUUAAUCGGAUUUACUGGGCGUAAAGCGUGCGUAGGCGGCUUUUUAAGUCGGAUGUGAAAUCCCUGAGCUUAACUUAGGAAUUGCAUUCGAUACUGGGAAGCUAGAGUAUGGGAGAGGAUGGUAGAAUUCCAGGUGUAGCGGUGAAAUGCGUAGAGAUCUGGAGGAAUACCGAUGGCGAAGGCAGCCAUCUGGCCUAAUACUGACGCUGAGGUACGAAAGCAUGGGGAGCAAACAGGAUUAGAGACCCCAGUAGUCCCUGUCUCUUAUAU
RNAcentral lists this ribosomal RNA (303 nucleotides) under uncultured bacterium. RNAcentral's name for it is "partial 16S ribosomal RNA". It matches the Rfam family "Bacterial small subunit ribosomal RNA", at positions 507 to 809 of the family's 1533-position model. The record is from RNAcentral.